UGAGAGAGAAAAGCGCCAGAACCUGAUUGCAACGGGAUUUUAAUCAGGUGGACGAGGAAGAAGGUUAUCGAAAUUUCGGCGGAUGCCUUCAGGCAGUGGCUGUUCUGCCUAAAUUUUAUUUCUUAAAAUCAGCGGGUAAUUGCUGAGACAAAGGGGAUAAAUAGCAGCUGA
Molecule: non-coding RNA, 171 nt
Filed under: Halanaerobium kushneri
Lineage: Bacteria; Bacillati; Bacillota; Clostridia; Halanaerobiales; Halanaerobiaceae
Description: GlcN6P sequence
Rfam family: glmS glucosamine-6-phosphate activated ribozyme aptamer
About the family: This entry contains a glucosamine-6-phosphate activated ribozyme that is found in the mRNA for GlmS.
Source: RNAcentral